GCUGGGCACAGUGGCUUAUGCCUGUAAUUCUAGCACUUUGGGAGGCUGAGGCGGGUGGAUCACCUGAGGUCAGGAGUUCUAGACCAGCCUGACCAACAUGGUGAAACCCUGUCUCUA
This 117-nucleotide non-coding RNA is filed under the name Pan paniscus (pygmy chimpanzee). Lineage: Eukaryota; Metazoa; Chordata; Mammalia; Primates; Hominidae. The record is from Rfam by way of RNAcentral. RNAcentral also lists the same sequence under 1 other name.